This 1389-nucleotide ribosomal RNA is filed under the name metagenome. RNAcentral's name for it is "bacterial LSU rRNA". It matches the Rfam family "Bacterial large subunit ribosomal RNA", at positions 1453 to 2925 of the family's 2925-position model. The record is from RNAcentral.
AAACCCUUAAACUGGGGGGACGCAUGAGAAAAGAUGACUAGGUUAUUGAAUUCCGAGUUGAGUCCACGGACUCAGCGCAUCAUUGGAUCGAGUGCCAAGAAAAGCCCCAGCGUAUGCUAAGCGACCCGUACCGCAAACCGACACAGGUGGGUGGGUAGAAUAUACCAAGGCGUAAGAGUGAAACCUGGUAAGGAACUCGGCAAAUUAGCCCCGUAACUUCGGAAGAAGGGGUGCCUGCAGCGAUGCAGGCCGCAGAGAAAUGGCCCAACCGACUGUUUAUCAAAAACACAGCACUCUGCAAAGACGCAAGUCGAAGUAUAGGGUGUGACACGUGACCAAUGCCGAAAGAUUAAGGCAAGGGGUUAGCCGCAAGGCGAAGCUCUAAACCCAAGUCCCGGUGAAUGUCGGCCGUAACUAUAACGGUCCUAAGGCAGCGAAAUUCCUUGUCGGGUAAGUUCCGACCUGCACGAAUCGUGAAACGAGUUGGGCACUGUCUCAACCAGGCGCUCAGUGAAAUUGUAGUGGCGGUGAAGAUGCCGCCUACCCGCAGAAGGACGGAAAGACCCUAUAGACCUUAACUGCAAGCUGUCGUUGAUUCUUCGGUUUUAAUGCUCAGAGUAAGUGGGAGACGCUGAAGACGCCCUUUAGGGGGCGUCCGAGUCAUCAAUGAGACACCACCCUUUGAAACUGGAGGAUCUAACCCUGAGCCGUGAAUCCGGCCAGAGGACCGUGUCAGCCGGUCAGUUUUACUGGGGCGGUAUCCUCCCAAAGAGUAACGGAGGAGCGCGAAGGGGGCUCAGCCCGGUUGGCAACCCGGGUGUCGAGUGCAUGGGCAUAAGCCCGCCUAACUGUGAGACCAACAAGUCGAGCAGAUGCGAAAGCAGGCCCAAGUGAUCCGGCGGUAGAAAGUGGAAUUGCCGUCGCUCAACGGAUAAAAGGUACCUUAGGGAUAACAGGCUGGUCACGCCCAAGAGUUCAUAUCGACGGCGUGGUUUGGCACCUCGAUGUCGGCUCGUCGCAUCCUGGGGCUGGAGAAGGUCCCAAGGGUCCGGCUGUCCGCCGGUUAAAGCGGCACGCGAGCUGGGUUCAGAACGUCGCGAGACAGUUCGGUCCUCUAUCCUCUGUGGGCGUUGGAAAAUUGAGGGGUUCAGACCUUAGUACGAGAGGACCGGGUCUGACGCACCACUGGUGCAUCGGUUGUACUGUCAAGUGCAUGGCCGAGUAGCUAAGUGCGGACGGGAUAAGCGCUGAAAGCAUCUAAGCGCCAAGCCCUUCCCAAGAUGAGUUUUCCCUACAGGUUCGUGGAAGACCACCACGUUGAUAGGUCGCAGGUGUAAGUGCAGCAAUGUAUUGAGCCGAGCGAUACUAAUUACCAAUUGACUUCAUCAU